UAUGGAUUAAUAAUACUGGCAAACGAGUGAGUAGCUUUGAACAUUUAUUUUUUGGUUUAAGUAUAGGGGUUAGAAACAGCCGUUAAUACUAAAUAAACUGGAGACAGUAAAAAACAACAGUUUGCCAAAAAUUAAUUUCAAAUCAGAUUAGUCUGUUGGUUAGAUAAAAGCUCACCAAAACCUUUAUCUGUAGUUGGUUUUAGCGAACGAUCAACCACGUUGAAACUGAGAACGGUUCAAACUCCUAUGGGAGGCUGCAGUUAAGAAUAUUACGCUAUGGGCAUUUUGCCUGACGUAGCAACUCCAUGUGAAGGAUGAAAGCUUAUGAGUUGUAAACUUCUUUUAACCCUUUUGUUGAAUAAGUAUUGGCUAACUUCGUGCCAGCAGCCGCGGUAAAACGGGGAAUACUAGUGUUAUCUAGAAAACUGGGCGUAAAGCGUUUGUUGAUGGUUUGGCAAGUCGUGCGUUAAAUAAUUAAGCUUAACUUAGUUAUGCGUAGGAAACUGCUAAACUUGGGUUUGGUAUAGGUUGUAGGAAUUUUCAAAGUAGCGGUGAAAUGCUUAGAUAUUGAAAAGAACACCGAUAGCGAAAGCAUUCAGCUUGACCAUAACUGACAUUUCAAAACGAAAGCUAAGGUAGCAAAGUGGAUUAGAUACCCACCUAGUCUUGGCAGUAAACUAUGAGUACUCUUUUUAGGUUGU
RNAcentral lists this ribosomal RNA (701 nucleotides) under uncultured bacterium. Its description in RNAcentral is "bacterial SSU rRNA". It matches the Rfam family "Bacterial small subunit ribosomal RNA", at positions 80 to 830 of the family's 1533-position model. The record is from RNAcentral.